CUUUCUCAGAGAAACUCUCUCUUUUCUCAUUUUCUUCUUCAUCUCUUCUUCGCAUCUCCUCUUUCUCUCCUAUUUUUCUUCAUCCUUCUUCUUCGCAACAACAGUUAAACACUUAAACUUACUGAGGAGAGAUCGAUUGAUUCGAUCCAACUAUUGGGUACUUGAGUUGAAAUUGUACCAAGUAAAACAGGUACUUAAGCUGCUUAACAUACCAAAAUCUGUCUAGAAUUCUGGUAGGAAAACUGACAGGAAAAUCUGUCUGGAAUUCUGGCAGAAAGUACCGACUGGUACCGGAACCGUGCCUGGUACCGUACUUGUGCUGAAUGAUACCGGAACCGAGGACAGAGGAAGCGAGACUAGGGAGAUACAGGUACUCGGCAAGAGCCGAGCCGAACCGUACCGUGUGCACCCUUAACCGUAACAACAUAUUUAAUAUGAAAUGUUUUUCUUAUCUUCUUAAACCAAGUAUUAUGGCCAUUCACAACUUAUAGGCAAAACCGUGACAAAAAAACAUUGACCGAAAACCGUGACCGAAAGACAAUGACUGGAUAUAGGUUCCUUCAAUGUGGUCUAAAUAGUUUACACUGGAAAAAAUACUUAGCUAAACCGUUUAACUCUCACAAUUUUUGGUCCAAGUAAAAUACAUAGGUUAAUCAAUAUACUAAUUCAAUAACAAGCCCGACAUUACUCUGAGAAGUCCGGGUACUUCAAGUAUUUCAUCUGCAGUUCUCCUUCAAGUAUUUCAUCUGCAGUUCUCCGUGCAAUUCAUUUGCAGUUCUCCAAGCAAUUCAGGUACUUUCACUAAAGGUCUUACCUUAAUGUCUACUCUGCGUUUUGGCCAACAAAAUAAUCGUUGUUAUAUUCAUUAUAAGCAACCAUAUUGAGGACUGAUGUGUAUUGGUCGGCAUGAAAUGAUGAUGGUGGUGAUGCCCAGCAUUUUACAUUUUUCUUGGUAAAUUAUAUAAUAAUUAAAUUUGGGAAUAAAUAUGAUUGUUUGUGUGUAUUGUGCAAGGAAAAAGCAUAAUCAAUUUCAACCUGUAAUCAGUUGAUGAAUUUACUGUUUGUUUGCAUUUCAAA
This is a long non-coding RNA of Papaver somniferum (opium poppy), 1077 nucleotides long. RefSeq lists it as uncharacterized. Lineage: Eukaryota; Viridiplantae; Streptophyta; Magnoliopsida; Ranunculales; Papaveraceae. The transcript is spliced from 3 exons. The record is from RefSeq and is a predicted model, not a curated record.